This 260-nucleotide ribosomal RNA is filed under the name uncultured bacterium. RNAcentral's name for it is "partial 16S ribosomal RNA". It matches the Rfam family "Bacterial small subunit ribosomal RNA", at positions 781 to 1040 of the family's 1533-position model. The record is from RNAcentral.
GAUACCCGGGUAGUCCACGCCGUAAACGAUGUCAACUAGCCGUUGGGUUCCUUGAGAACUUAGUGGCGCAGCUAACGCAUUAAGUUGACCGCCUGGGGAGUACGGCCGCAAGGUUAAAACUCAAAUGAAUUGACGGGGGCCCGCACAAGCGGUGGAGCAUGUGGUUUAAUUCGAAGGAACGCGAAGAACCUUACCUGGCCUUGACAUGCUGAGAACUUUCCAGAGAUGGAUUGGUGCCUUCGGGAGCUCAGACACAGGUG